This 506-nucleotide ribosomal RNA is filed under the name uncultured bacterium. Its description in RNAcentral is "partial 16S ribosomal RNA". It matches the Rfam family "Bacterial small subunit ribosomal RNA", at positions 29 to 523 of the family's 1533-position model. The record is from RNAcentral.
AGUGAACGCUGGCGGUAGGCCUAACACAUGCAAGUCGAACGGCAGCACAGGAGAGCUUGCUCUCUGGGUGGCGAGUGGCGGACGGGUGAGGAAUACAUCGGAAUCUACUCUGUCGUGGGGGAUAACGUAGGGAAACUUACGCUAAUACCGCAUACGACCUACGGGUGAAAGCAGGGGAUCUUCGGACCUUGCGCGAUUGAAUGAGCCGAUGUCGGUUUAGCUAGUUGGCGGGGUAAAGGCCCACCAAGGCGACGACCCGUAGCUGGUCUGAGAGGAUGAUCAGCCGCACUGGAACUGAGACACGGUCCAGACUCCUACGGGAGGCAGCAGUGGGGAAUAUUGGACAAUGGGCGCAAGCCUGAUCCAGCCAUACCGCGUGGGUGAAGAAGGCCUUCGGGUUGUAAAGCCCUUUUGUUGGGAAAGAAAUCCAGCUGGCUAAUACCCGGUUGGGAUGACGGUACCCAAAGAAUAAGCACCGGCUAACUUCGUGCCAGCCGCCGCCGUAA